UGGGGAAUUUUGGACAAUGGGGGCAACCCUGAUCCAGCCAUGCCGCGUGCGGGAAGAAGGCCUUCGGGUUGUAAACCGCUUUUAGCCGGAAAGAAAAGGCGGCUCCUAAUACGAGUCGUUCUUGACGGUACCGGCGGAAUAAGCACCGGCUAACUACGUGCCAGCAGCCGCGGUAAUACGUAGGGUGCGAGCGUUAAUCGGAAUUACUGGGCGUAAAGCGUGCGCAGGCGGUUCGUUGUGUCGGAUGUGAAAGCCCCGGGCUCAACCUGGGAACGGCAUUCGAAACUGGCGAGCUGGAGUGUGGCAGAGGGGGGUGGAACUCCUGGUGUAGCAGUGAAAUGCGUAGAGAUCAGGAAGAACACCGAUGGCGAAGGCAGCCCCCUGGGCCAACACUGACGCUCAGGCACGAAAGCGUGGGGAGCAAACAGG
This 429-nucleotide ribosomal RNA is filed under the name uncultured bacterium. RNAcentral describes it as "bacterial SSU rRNA". It matches the Rfam family "Bacterial small subunit ribosomal RNA", at positions 355 to 776 of the family's 1533-position model. The record is from RNAcentral.